GAUGAACGCUAGCGGCAGGCUUAACACAUGCAAGUCGUGGGGCAGCGCGGACUUCGGUCUGGCGGCGACCGGCAAACGGGUGCGGAACACGUACGCAACCUCCCUCAGAGCGGGAAUAGCCUCUCGAAAGAGAGAUUAAUACCCCAUAGUAUCUUGAAGACACAUGUCUAUGAGAUUAAAGCUUCGGCACUUUGAGAUGGGCGUGCGGCUGAUUAGGUAGUUGGUAGGUAACGGCCUACCAAGCCGACGAUCAGUAGCUGAUGUGAGAGCAUGAUCAGCCACACGGGCACUGAGACACGGGCCCGAUCCUACGGGAGGCAGCAGUGAGGAAUAUUGGUCAAUGGAGGAAACUCUGAACCAGCCAUGCCGCGUGGAGGAUGAAGGUCCUCUGGAUU
RNAcentral lists this ribosomal RNA (395 nucleotides) under uncultured bacterium. RNAcentral's name for it is "bacterial SSU rRNA". It matches the Rfam family "Bacterial small subunit ribosomal RNA", at positions 28 to 424 of the family's 1533-position model. The record is from RNAcentral.